CGAGGACGAACGCUGGCGGCAUGCCUAACACAUGCAAGUCGAACGGAGAAUUCCUUCGGGAAUUCUUAGUGGCGAACGGGUGAGUAACGCGUAGGCAACCUGCCCUUUGGAUGGGGACAACAUUCCGAAAGGAGUGCUAAUACCGAAUGUGACGAUUAUACCGCAUGGUUUAAUCGUGAAAGAUGGCCUCUACAUGUAAGCUAUCGCCAAAGGAUGGGCCUGCGUCUGAUUAGCUAGAUGGCGGGGUAACGGCCCACCAUGGCGACGAUCAGUAGCCGGUCUGAGAGGAUGAACGGCCACAUUGGGACUGAGACACGGCCCAGACUCCUACGGGAGGCAGCAGUGGGGGAUAUUGCACAAUGGGGGAAACCCUGAUGCAGCAACGCCGCGUGAGGGAAGAAGGUCUUCGGAUUGUAAACCUAAGUUGUCAGGGACGAAUACAUGACGGUACCUGAAAAGAAAGCUCCGGCUAACUACGUG
Molecule: ribosomal RNA, 480 nt
Filed under: uncultured bacterium
Lineage: Bacteria
Description: bacterial SSU rRNA
Rfam family: Bacterial small subunit ribosomal RNA
Source: RNAcentral